AGCGGUGGCAAGCGUUGUUCGGAAUUACUGGGCGUAAAGGGCGCGUAGGCGGUCUUGCAAGUCCCGUGUGAAAUCCCUCGGCUCAACUGGGGAACUGCACGGGAAACUGUUUGGCUUGAGUUCGGGAGAGGGAAGCGGAAUUCCGGGUGUAGCGGUGAAAUGCGUAGAUAUCCGGAGGAACACCGGUGGCGAAGGCGGCUUCCUGGACCGAUACUGACGCUGAGGCGCGAAAGCUAGGGGAGCAAAUGGGAUUAGAUACCCCGGUAGUCCUAGCUGUAAACGAUGAGUGCUGGGUGUAGAGGGUAUUAACCCCUUCUGUGCCGAAGCUAACGCAUUAAGCACUCCGCCUGGGGAGUACGGUCGCAAGGCUG
Molecule: ribosomal RNA, 371 nt
Filed under: uncultured bacterium
Lineage: Bacteria
Description: bacterial SSU rRNA
Rfam family: Bacterial small subunit ribosomal RNA
Source: RNAcentral